UCACCGACAUAUGCAUGGCCUGUUAUUGAUCAAAAUGUCAUUAUGCAUACAUAACUUUAAUUGAACAUCUUUUAAAGAAGCUAAAAGAAGGGAGAGUCUUCUGCCUUGAUUCCCAGUGUCCAAAUACAAAAGUAUUGACUACUGUCCCUGAUGUGACGAGCAGGAUCUAUUGAAGCCGAACACAUCAUCUUUCAGUUCCAGGUAGGAGUGCAGUAAGAAGAGUUUUCUUACAGGCAUGAUCGCUGUGAUGGAUAAGUGUGUCUUGGACUCUAAUGAAUGAACCAGCGACUUAGUCACCAGCCGCCUACACUAAUAAGGUGAGGGUGUGAUGCUGGUUUGGGCAGGGAAGGUCUUUGGUCUCUUUAUAGAUUUUAGAAUGCUAAAAUAAAAUGACCUGUGGGAUCCUGAAACCAAA
Molecule: long non-coding RNA, 415 nt
Filed under: Homo sapiens (human)
Lineage: Eukaryota; Metazoa; Chordata; Mammalia; Primates; Hominidae
Description: HSALNT0131384
Source: RNAcentral